Long non-coding RNA from Saccostrea cuccullata (small rock oyster), 208 nucleotides. RefSeq lists it as uncharacterized. The transcript is spliced from 3 exons. NCBI's taxonomy places the organism in Eukaryota, Metazoa, Mollusca, Bivalvia, Ostreida, Ostreidae. The record is from RefSeq and is a predicted model, not a curated record.
AAGGAAUGCACGGAAAAAAUGGGAAGCAAAAUUUGCAGAGCAGUUUUUCAAAGAGAAGCUUAAGGAGCAGAGAAAUUUCUUCAAGAACUGCUUCCAUACUCUUGAAAAUGACCAGUGGAUAAAAUGCUUAUUGAAGGAAGAGAUUUCCAAUGCUUCAGACAUAGAAGUGUUUCCAUCAGUUUUCAAAUCUUCGACUUUUGUUUGGCAG